GACGAACGCUGGCGGCGUGCCUAAUACAUGCAAGUCGAACGCAGUGGGGACGGGUGAGUAACACGUGGGUAACCUCCCAUCAGAGGGGAUAACACUUGGAAACAGGUGCUAAACCGAUACUGAUGGAUGGACCCGCGGUGCAUUAGCUAGUAGGUGGGGUAAAGGCUCACCUAGGCGACGAUCCCUAGCUGGUCUGAGGGGGUGACCAGCCACAAUGGGACUGAGACACGGUCCAGACUCCUACGGGAGGCAGCAGUGGGGAAUAUUGCACAAUGGGCGAAAGCCUGAGACAGCCAUGCCGCGUGUAUGAAGAAGGUCUUCGGGUUGUAAAGCACUUUCGGCGGGGAAGCGUUACCUGCAGAAGAAGCACCGGCUAACUCCGUGCCAGCAGCCGCGGUAAUUC
RNAcentral lists this ribosomal RNA (403 nucleotides) under uncultured bacterium. Its description in RNAcentral is "partial 16S ribosomal RNA". It matches the Rfam family "Bacterial small subunit ribosomal RNA", at positions 28 to 526 of the family's 1533-position model. The record is from RNAcentral.